AACGUGUCGCGAUGGAUGACUUGGCUCCC
RNAcentral lists this ribosomal RNA (29 nucleotides) under Leishmania major. RNAcentral describes it as "partial 5.8S ribosomal RNA". The record is from RNAcentral. Lineage: Eukaryota; Euglenozoa; Kinetoplastea; Trypanosomatida; Trypanosomatidae.